UACAUCAUUACAACACUUGCCGUCAGUAUUUGAAUAUAUUGAUUAAGAAGGUUGUCAGCAAGAUGAAAAGGACAAGUAUGCAGUUCAAAAUUCAAAAUGUGGAUAAGUUGAGGUUCUAGGUCUUACCUUUGCAGAUUUUCAUAUUUUGCAUGAAUGAAUUCAAAGGUUAUAUGAUGGACAGCAGAGAAAGAAAAAACAACUUUUCAAUUAUCCUGCUCCUGGAUAAAUGUAAAACAUCUUGUUUUUCGAAGGAUUGAAAUUCACCACCUAGAAUAAAUGGAGAAAACAUAGAAACAAGACCAGAAUAAAUUCAAAGACAAAAGUUGGAUCAGUUAUUAUUUUCAUCACUCAGUCAAUGAUUUGAAGUUCUUUUAAAUUCAAAAAAAUAUUGAAACAAUAAUGUCAAAGUUCUGUGCCGAAUGUCCAAAAAGUGGACUAUACCAUCAAACAAUGCUGGAUGAUAAGAAACUAUUAAUGUUUUGUGUUGAGAGAUAUUGUGAAAAAAAAUAGAUUUACUUAAAUAGCUACUAGUAUGUUAAGCCUAACAAUAGAGUUUUUAUUGAUUUCAAAUGGCAAAUAAAUUGUGUUUCAAGAAAGUAUUCUAUAAUUCAUGAAUAAACAUAU
Molecule: long non-coding RNA, 624 nt
Organism: Mytilus trossulus (common blue mussel)
Lineage: Eukaryota; Metazoa; Mollusca; Bivalvia; Mytilida; Mytilidae
Exons: 3
Source: RefSeq, a predicted model, not a curated record